GACGAACCGUCCAAACGUUAUUCGGAAUUAUUGGGCUUAAAGGGUGCGUAGGCGGUGCGGUAAGUCGGGUGUGAAAUCCCUCAGCUCAACUGAGGAACUGCGCUCGAUACUGCCGUGCUUGAGGAAGAUAGAGGUCAGCGGAACUGAUGGUGGAGCGGUGAAAUGCGUUGAUAUCAUCAGGAACACCAGUGGCGAAAGCGGCUGACUGGAUCUUUUCUGACGCUGAGGCACGAAAGCUAGGGGAGCGAACGGGAUUAGAUACCCCCGUAGUCC
This 273-nucleotide ribosomal RNA is filed under the name uncultured bacterium. RNAcentral describes it as "partial 16S ribosomal RNA". It matches the Rfam family "Bacterial small subunit ribosomal RNA", at positions 524 to 796 of the family's 1533-position model. The record is from RNAcentral.